UGGGGAAUUUUGGACAAUGGGCGCAAGCCUGAUCCAGCAAUGCCGCGUGCAGGAUGAAGGCCUUCGGGUUGUAAACUGCUUUUGUACGGAGCGAAAAGGUCUGCCCUAAUACGGUGGGCUCAUGACGGUACCGUAAGAAUAAGCACCGGCUAACUCUGUGCCAGCAGCCGCGGUAAUACAGAGGGCGCAAGCGUUAAUCGGAAUUACUGGGCGUAAAGCGCGCGUAGGUGGUUCGUUAAGUUGGAUGUGAAAUCCCCGGGCUCAACCUGGGACCUGCAUUUGUGACUGUAUAGCUAGAGUACGGUAGAGGGGGAUGGAAUUCCGCGUGUAGCAGUGAAAUGCGUAGAUAUGCGGAGGAACACCGAUGGCGAAGGCAAUCCCCUGGACCUGUACUGACGAUCAUGCACGAAAGCGUGGGGAGCAAACA
This 427-nucleotide ribosomal RNA is filed under the name uncultured bacterium. RNAcentral's name for it is "bacterial SSU rRNA". It matches the Rfam family "Bacterial small subunit ribosomal RNA", at positions 355 to 774 of the family's 1533-position model. The record is from RNAcentral.